RNAcentral lists this non-coding RNA (29 nucleotides) under Rattus norvegicus (Norway rat). The record is from RNAcentral. Lineage: Eukaryota; Metazoa; Chordata; Mammalia; Rodentia; Muridae.
UAGUAGCACUAGAAUUGUGGGCCCUAACU